Molecule: ribosomal RNA, 873 nt
Filed under: Paratylenchus sp. F PRS-2020
Lineage: Eukaryota; Metazoa; Nematoda; Chromadorea; Rhabditida; Tylenchulidae
Description: SSU rRNA
Rfam family: Eukaryotic small subunit ribosomal RNA
Source: RNAcentral
CAAGUACACGCCUUAACAAGGUGAAACCGCGAACGGCUCAUUAUAACAGCUAUAAUUUACUUGACCUUGACCAGUUACUUGGAUAACUGUGGUAAUUCUAGAGCUAAUACAUGCACCGAAGUUGUUCCUCGCGGAGCAAUGCAUUUAUUUGAGCAAAACCAGGCGGCUUCGGCCGUUUCUGUUGAAUCAGAAUAACUAAGCUGAUCGCAUGGGCUUGUCCCGGCGACGUGUCUUUCAAGUGUCUGCCUUAUCAACUUUCGAUGGUAGUGUACGUGACUACCAUGGUGUUGACGGGUAACGGAGGAUAAGGGUUCGACUCCGGAGAAGGGGCCUGAGAAAUGGCCACUACGUCUAAGGAUGGCAGCAGGCGCGCAAAUUACCCACUCUCGGUUCGAGGAGGUAGUGACGAAAAAUAACAAGGCCGUUCUCUUUGAGGCCGGCCAUUGGAAUGGGUACAACUUAAACCCUUUAACGAGUAUCAAUGAGAGGGCAAGUCUGGUGCCAGCAGCCGCGGUAAUUCCAGCUCUCAAAAUGCAUAGAACCAUUGCUGCGGUUAAAAAGCUCGUAGUUGGAUCUGUGCCGGCGACGUGGUCCGCCCUAACGGGAGGUACUGCGCUCGUCGGCUUUGGGCCGGUUUUCGGUCGGUCGCCUUAACUGGCGGCCGCUCGUGGCUGGCUGGUUUACUUUGAGCAAAUCAGAGUGCUCAGCACAGGCGUCUCGCCGGAAUGUUCGUGCAUGGAAUAAUAGAAAAGGAUUUCGGUCCUCUUUUAUUGGUUUUGUGGACUGAGAUAAUGGUUAACAGAGACGGACGGGGGCAUUCGUAUUGCUGCGUGAGAGGUGAAAUUCUUGGACCGCAGCAGGACGGACUACAGC